CAACAAUGUUAAAGAGUAUGGUGAUUCUUCAUGGAAACAACUUAAUCAUUACACUCUGAGUCACUUAUGAUAAAAACAGGGCUUGAGGUAUUAAUUCAAAGUACAUGUUUCAUUGUGGAAUGGUAAUUACACUGUAGUAACAUACUGACAUUUCCAAGACAAGAAAGGUUGACUUAUUGCAGCUGUCUUUUGUGUCAUUCCUCUCUCAAUCACUGCCAAAAAUAUAUUGUACCCAUGGGGAUUAAACAUCCCCAAAUAAGAAACUCUAAAUAUAGGCAAUAUAGUAACAUCUGUAAAACAUAUUUAAAGCCAACAUUUAACAUUGACUGAAUAACCCUUAUGUGAUUAGAACAUUCUGUGGUUCAUGACACAGUCCGUCAGUCACACUUUCAGUGAAACACUAGCAUAACUACAUGUUCAAACAGUAAGUAGUGGGCACCUUCCUCUCCCAUCUGGCUUCCAGAAAACCUGCCGUUUCUCAGACAUCAGCAGGCCCAGUCAUGGCUUGGUUUGCAUGCUCCAGCAGGAAGAGAGUGGAAGGCUUGGGGACCCUUCCAGUCCCCUAAAGCAACGCUGUCUUUUACACCCCCAAAUUCCAAGGGCCCCUCCUCACUCCAUCGGUAAUGUCCCAGAAGCACAUGCACAUUCCUUCCAUUUAAAAUCAGUAACCAGUGAGUAUUUUAGUUCAAUUUGUGUUAACAUUAUUCAAUAUUACUGGUCCUGAGAUACAGUAUGACUGCACAUUUGUGGAUAGGCUUCAAUGUUCUUUCUUACAUGUUCCUGCCACAGACAAAUAAUUGUCAGCUUUUCCAGCUCUUCAAAAGCCUUCAGCAACACAUCUGUUUCCAUUCAACUAGUCUCUGUCAGUUACUCUGACCUUAUACAUGUUAUUUGAUAAGUAAUUUGGCUUAGGCAAGUCGUACAAAAGCAAACUGUUUUACAAAGGUUCUAAUUUAGAGUAAAUCUAUAUCCUUCCUAAGACUGGGCAACAAAAUACUGUUUUUGUAUAAAAAUGAUUGUUCUUUGGCUGACUUCAUAAACUCCCUGAUCCUUAAUCAAACUAAUGGGUGUUUGUUACAUUUCAGCAGCGUUAGUAAUGAUUUAUAGUUCAACUGCAGUGAUUUUCCCAGCCAAGCACAGUAAGAAGUCUGCUGGUUACCUUUCACCUACUUAGCCUCCGGUGCAGACCAGAGAGGGUUAACUCCUUUUCUUUGUGGUCUUGCCCCAGGUCAUGAAUCGCCUACGUGCUCCCCGUGCUCUCCGUGCUUCCCAGCACGGGUGUUACAUCUGAAUGUUGGGAAUUGCCUUAACUUGGGCAUUUUCUAUGCAUGAACUUUCCCCUAAUUCUCACACUGCUCCUACCUCACAGCAAGUCUAACAGAGGAGCACCUCAGGCCAAAUCAUACAGCACGUUCCUCCUGACGUCCAACACAGUGCCAGUGACUUCACACAACCGCAACCGGCUUUCAUUUAUCCCAGCCAUACAAUUAGGCUGGCUCAAAUAGCUUUUUCUCCGAUUGUGUUUUCUCUGUACUGGCUUCAAUACAAAUCUAGACUUGAAAUGAUAUUCAGUUUAUUAAGAAGUUCAGUCAGGUACAUAAUUAUUGGCAAAACCUUUACAAAGGCCCCAGUACCAGUGGAAGCAAAGUAGCCCCAUAACAUCAAAGAUCCACCACCAUAUUUUACCAUAUGAGGUAUGCUGCAUAUGCUUCUGUUUUUCAACGCCAAACCCUCCACUGGUGUCUGUGGCCAAAGAUAUCUAUUUUCAUGUCAUUUGACCACAGCACUGCCUGGAGUUUGAUAAGCGGCAUUGGCACUUGGAUUGGAACCGGUACUAUGGUCAGAUUACAUGAAAAUAUAUAUUUUUUAGCAUACAAUAUAGCUCAGUAUUUGUAUUAUACAUGUUUUUCUCAUCUUUAUCAAGGGUGCCAAUAAUUAUAGACCUGACUGGACUUCAUUUAACUAAGUACAAUCAGUUAUUUUUCUUUAUGGAGGACGCAAUACAGAAUGUUUAUUCACACACUGGACAUAUUUUGUCAAAUUAUUAGCUAUGCACAUUUAUAUGCAAUGUAACAUUUUGAGCUAUUAAAGCCUUGUGUAAAUGAAUGCGGCCCACUGAUUUAUCAAAAACCCUUUAUCAUGCUGAGACCAAGGUCUCUUUUACAGAAGAGCGCUGUAAUUAAAUAAAUAUUCACCAAAAUAUACACAUCAAUGCGCUACAAAAAGCAAAACAGAGCUACAAAACACAAUCAUAGAAAACAAACACAUUCUUCAGUAAAAAGGUCCUCAAUAAGUCAUAAUAAAUAUUUGGGCAUCUGGAUUGACAAAAAGUUAAUUUUCAUGUUAUGAAUUGUGCUAAAAAACUAGGUGCUAAAAAACUAAGGUGCUAAAAAACUAAAAGCAGAAUUAACUAACUCAGUGGAGAUCGAAGGGAUCUCCAGAGUUAAGCAUCCCUGACUCAGUGGAGAUCGAAGGGAUCUCCAGAGUUAUCCUUCCCUGACUCAGUGGAGAUCAAAGGGAUCUCCGGAGUUAUCCUUCCCUGACUCAGUGGAGAUCGAAGGGAUCUCCGGAGUUAUCCUUCCCUGACUCAGUGGAGAUCGAAGGGAUCUCCAGAGUCAUCCUUCCCUGACUCAGUGGAGAUCGAAGGGAUCUCCAGAGUCAGCCAUCCCUGACUCAGUGGAGAUUGAAGGGAUCUCCAGAGUCGUCCAUCCCUGACUCAGUGGAGAUCGAAGGGAUCUCCAGAGUCAGCCAUCCCUGACUCAGUGGAGAUCGAAGGGAUCUCCAGAGUUGUCCUUCCCUGACUCAGUGGAGAUCGAAGGGAUCUCCAGAGUUAUCUAUCCCUGACUCAGUGGAGAUUGAAGGGAUCUCCAGAGUCAUCCAUCCCUGACUCAGUGGAGAUCGAAGGGAUCUCCAGAGUCAUCCAUCCCUGACUCAGUGGAGAUCGAAGGGAUCUCCAGAGUCAUCCAUCCCUGACUCAGUGGAGAUCGAAGGGAUCUCCAGAGUCAUCCAUCCCUGACUCAGUGGAGAUCAAAGGGAUCUCCAGAGUUAUCCUUCCCUGACUCAGUGGAGAUCGAAGGGAUCUCCAGAGUCAGCCAUCCCUGACUCAGUGGAGAUCGAAGGGAUCUCCAGAGUUGUCCUUCCCUGACUCAGUGGAGAUCGAAGGGAUCUCCAGAGUUAUCUAUCCCUGACUCAGUGGAGAUUGAAGGGAUCUCCAGAGUUAAGCAUCCCUGACUCAGUGGAGAUCGAAGGGAUCUCCAGAGUUAUCCUUCCCUGACUCAGUGGAGAUCGAAGGUAUCUCCAGACUUCUCUUUCCCUGACUCAGUGGAGAUCGAAAGGAUCUCCAGAGUAGUCCUUCCCUGACUCAGUGGAGUUCGAAGGGAUCUCCAGAGUUAUCCUUCCCUGACUCAGUGGAGAUCGAAGGGAUCUCCAGAGUUAUCCUUCCCUGACUCAGUGGAGAUUGAAGGGAUCUCCAGAGUUAAACAUCCCUGACUCAGUGGAGAUUAAAGGGAUCUCCAGAGUCAUCCAUCCCUGACUCAGUGGAGAUCGAAGGGAUCUCCAGAGUCAUCCAUCCCUGACUCAGUGGAGAUCGAAGGGAUCUCCAGAGUCAUCCAUCCCUGACUCAGUGGAAAUCGAAGGGAUCUCCAGAGUCAUCCAUCCCUGACUCAGUGGAGAUCAAAGGGAUCUCCAGAGUUAUCCUUCCCUGACUCAGUGGAGAUCGAAGGGAUCUCCAGAGUCAGCCAUCCCUGACUCAGUGGAGAUCGAAGGGAUCUCCAGAGUUGUCCUUCCCUGACUCAGUGGAGAUCGAAGGGAUCUCCAGAGUUAUCUAUCCCUGACUCAGUGGAGAUUGAAGGGAUCUCCAGAGAUAAGCAUCCCUGACUCAGUGGAGAUCGAAGGGAUCUCCAGAGUUAAGCAUCCCUGACUCAGUGGAGAUCGAAGGGAUCUCCAGAGUUAAGCAUCCCUGACUCAGUGGAGAUCGAAGGGAUCUCCAGAGUUAUCCUUCCCUGACUCAGUGGAGAUCGAAGGGAUCUCCAGAGUCAGCCAACCCUGACUCAGUGGAGAUCGAAGGGAUCUCCAGAGUUGUCCUUCCCUGACUCAGUGGAGAUUGAAGGGAUCUCCAAAGUUAUCUAUCCCUGACUCAGUGGAGAUUGAAGGGAUCUCCAGAGUUAAGCAUCCCUGACUCAGUGGAGAUCGAAGGGAUCUCCAGAGUCAUCCAUCCCUGACUCAGUGGAGAUCGAAGGGAUCUCCAGAGUUAAGCAUCCCUGACUCAGUGGAGAUCGAAGGGAUCUCCAGAGUUAUCCUUCCCUGACUCAGUGGAGAUCGAAGGGAUCUCCAGAGUUAUCCUUCCCUGACUCAGUGGAGAUUGAAGGGAUCUCCAGAGAUAAGCAUCCCUGACUCAGUGGAGAUCGAAGGGAUCUCCAGAGUUAAGCAUCCCUGACUCAGUGGAGAUCGAAGGGAUCUCCAGAGUUAUCCUUCCCUGACUCAGUGGAGAUCGAAGGGAUCUCCAGAGUCAGCCAACCCUGACUCAGUGGAGAUCGAAGGGAUCUCCAGAGUUGUCCUUC
RNAcentral lists this long non-coding RNA (4559 nucleotides) under Salmo salar (Atlantic salmon). Its description in RNAcentral is "lncRNA (ENSSSAG00000103144.1)". The record is from RNAcentral. Lineage: Eukaryota; Metazoa; Chordata; Actinopteri; Salmoniformes; Salmonidae.